RNAcentral lists this ribosomal RNA (329 nucleotides) under uncultured Oscillospiraceae bacterium. RNAcentral's name for it is "partial 16S ribosomal RNA". Lineage: Bacteria; Bacillati; Bacillota; Clostridia; Eubacteriales; Oscillospiraceae. The record is from RNAcentral.
GGAGUCUGGGCCGUAUCUCAGUCCCAAUGUGGCCGUUCAACCUCUCAGUCCGGCUACUGAUCGUCGCCUUGGUGGGCCGUUACCCCGCCAACUAGCUAAUCAGAUAUGAGCCCAUCUUUCAGCGGAUUGCUCCUUUGGUACAGUGGGGAUGUCCCCUCCGUACAUUAUGCGGUAUUAGCAGUCGUUUCCAACUGUUGUCCCCCUCUGAAAGGCAGGUUGCUCAUACAUUACUCACCCGUCCGCCACUAAGUCAUAACCGGCUUCGACGAAUCUCCGUCAGUUAUGCUUCGUUCGACUUGCAUGUGUUAGGCACGCCGCCAGCGUUCAUC